RNAcentral lists this long non-coding RNA (1161 nucleotides) under Sorghum bicolor (sorghum). RNAcentral describes it as "long non-coding RNA (SBIC_LNC018449)". Lineage: Eukaryota; Viridiplantae; Streptophyta; Magnoliopsida; Poales; Poaceae. The record is from RNAcentral.
CUAGGGUUGGAGGAUGACUCUAGCACCCCUUUGGUCGUCCUCCCCUCUAUUUAUUUACAUCUAGAGCCGCCAUGAACAACUGGGUUUUGAUUAGAUAAAGUUUAGCCUUCGCUACUUGCUUGUAAACGCGCGUGCUGAUCCAGCCGCCCGUCUUCUUGUUUUCGAAACCCCACUUCAUUAGAGAUUGAGUUUGAAACCUUUAUUUACAUCUAGUAUUUUAGUACUUGUUCUACUUGUUCUUGCUGGUUCUUCGAUUGCUUGCAGGACGAGUGCCCUAGUGGCCGGGUGUUGCGCUCCACAAGAUCGUGACAGCCAUUGGAGGCGGUGUAUCGGUUGCUAAGGCGCGGCCUUAGAAGGCUGUAGUCGGGCCGUGAAUGUCAUCUCCAUUCACUAAUCGAGUUAUCCAGCGCCUCUCAUCGAAAGAUCAGGCGAAAACUCUAGUGGGUUCACAUCAGUUGGUAUCAGAGCAAGGUUCUUCGGUGAGAGACUUCUAAUCCUUUGCUGUUUUUAAUUAAUUUCCUAUAGUCCAGAAAAGCCAAAAAAAUAUAGUAGAUUAGUUUUUCCAUAAUCCUAUUAAACCUUUGUGCCUUGGCUAGUACCGUUUUAGUUAGGGCUUGUUGAAUUUGCAUUGCUUCGGUUUGUGUCGAGUUGCUGGUCUUAGUGUCUAGUCCUUUAGAGUUUCGAGUUCUUGUCACCAUCUAUACACAGCCGAGUAUUACCAUAUCUUCUCUCUGUCGAAUCUGUUGUGAAGUCCGAAUUGAACUGUGAUCCAAAAAGAAAGAUAACUCCAUACUUGUUCGGCCUUACUCUAGAGAGAGAGAGAGAGAGAGAGAGAGUAGCAAAUUGCUCUUUUGUAUUCCUUUGUUCAUAUAAUCAGUUUUUGAGGUUGCCCAAAAAAAAGAAAAAAAAAGAAAAGAGAAAAGAUUCAAAAGAAAAAAAAGGGGCUGUUUUUCAUAUUGAUUUUAGGUUUCUUCCACCUUGUUUUCGGGGGUGUGCUGUGGUUUUCCUUUGUGUCCAGGCUCGCGUCUCUAGCACGGUCUAGCCUAGGACCAGCACAGUACCAUCGUCGAACGCUUAUUCAGCUCGCUUUUAUAACUAACGUGGUGCUAGUUCGUUCCUUGUUUCAGCCCACCUAUAGCUCCACAUACUCUACAGCUUGAC